UGGGUAUUGGGGACGGUCCGCCGUCCUCAUGACACUUGAACACCCACAGGCGAAGACAACUCGAAAGUUAUCACGGGAUUACGGGUUCGGCCGAUGGCGCAAGCCUUCGUCGGGCCCCUCCAUCCCAGGGUGUCCCGGUACGGGUGCUUGCACCCAGCGGACAUCCCCGGAGUGCGUAGGAUGUGACCCGAAAGAUGGUGAACUAUGCCUGAUCAGGUCGAAGUCAGGGGAAACCCUGAUGGAGGACCGAAGCAAUUCUGACGUGCAAAUCGAUUGUCAGAGUUGGGCAUAGGGGCGAAA
RNAcentral lists this ribosomal RNA (300 nucleotides) under Anopheles culicifacies C. Its description in RNAcentral is "eukaryotic LSU rRNA". It matches the Rfam family "Eukaryotic large subunit ribosomal RNA", at positions 695 to 928 of the family's 3401-position model. RNAcentral also lists the same sequence under 1 other name. Lineage: Eukaryota; Metazoa; Arthropoda; Insecta; Diptera; Culicidae. The record is from RNAcentral.